RNAcentral lists this ribosomal RNA (1029 nucleotides) under Ligilactobacillus murinus. RNAcentral's name for it is "bacterial SSU rRNA". It matches the Rfam family "Bacterial small subunit ribosomal RNA", at positions 34 to 1035 of the family's 1533-position model. Lineage: Bacteria; Bacillati; Bacillota; Bacilli; Lactobacillales; Lactobacillaceae. The record is from RNAcentral.
AGCUGGCGGCGUGCCUAUACAUGCAAGUCGAACGAAACUUCUUUAUCACCGAAGUGCUUGCACUCACCGAUAAAGAGUUGAGUGGCGAACGGGUGAGUAACACGUGGGCAACCUGCCCAAAAGAGGGGGAUAACACUUGGAAACAGGUGCUAAUACCGCAUAACCAUAGUUACCGCAUGGUAACUAUGUAAAAGGUGGCUAUGCUACCGCUUUUGGAUGGGCCCGCGGCGCAUUAGCUAGUUGGUGAGGUAAAGGCUUACCAAGGCAAUGAUGCGUAGCCGAACUGAGAGGUUGAUCGGCCACAUUGGGACUGAGACACGGCCCAAACUCCUACGGGAGGCAGCAGUAGGGAAUCUUCCACAAUGGGCGAAAGCCUGAUGGAGCAACGCCGCGUGGGUGAAGAAGGUCUUCGGAUCGUAAAACCCUGUUGUUAGAGAAGAAAGUGCGUGAGAGUAACUGUUCACGUUUCGACGGUAUCUAACCAGAAAGCCACGGCUAACUACGUGCCAGCAGCCGCGGUAAUACGUAGGUGGCAAGCGUUAUCCGGAUUUAUUGGGCGUAAAGGGAACGCAGGCGGUCUUUUAAGUCUGAUGUGAAAGCCUUCGGCUUAACCGGAGUAGUGCAUUGGAAACUGGGAGACUUGAGUGCAGAAGAGGAGAGUGGAACUCCAUGUGUAGCGGUGAAAUGCGUAGAUAUAUGGAAGAACACCAGUGGCGAAAGCGGCUCUCUGGUCUGUAACUGACGCUGAGGUUCGAAAGCGUGGGUAGCAAACAGGAUUAGAUACCCUGGUAGUCCACGCCGUAAACGAUGAAUGCUAAGUGUUGGAGGGUUUCCGCCCUUCAGUGCUGCAGCUAACGCAAUAAGCAUUCCGCCUGGGGAGUACGACCGCAAGGUUGAAACUCAAAGGAAUUGACGGGGGCCCGCACAGCGGUGGAGCAUGUGGUUUAAUUCGAAGCACCGCGAAGAACCUUACAGGUCUUGACAUCUUCUGACAUCCUAGAGAUAGGACUUUCCUUCGGGACAAAUGAC